AAAAUCACUGUAAACCGAAUCUUUCAUCAAGGUGCCAUUUAUUUUCCCCCAAAUUUUGCUCCACCCGUCAGCUACAUUUUUGCCCAAAUCUUGAGAUCUUUGAGUCGCGGUCGACCAACCAACCGAUGCACCAUUUCUUUAACCCGUUAGCUACAUUUUUCCCCAAAUUUGCAGAUUAUUCAACCUUGGUCUACCAACACGUAUUCUUCGACGCCAACGUCCGAUUCUUGCUAAGACUUUGACCGACCAAUACUUCAUAAGUUAACAUCGCUGUUAGUUCCGAAAUCAGAUUUCUACCUGACCCAACUCAUUUACUCAAAGAUGGAGAUAGACAAAGGUUUGUGUAGUUUCUAAUAAUGUAAAAAUUGUAAUGUGUAAAUGGAUCUUUGUCAUGAAAAUGUGUAAUCCCUCUCCCUUCAUGACACUUCAGUAAUGUUACUCCACCUAGCGUAAUAUGCUCUGAAGAUGACAAAUUCAUUUGUAAGAAUGUUGUUAGCUUAUGUUGCCCAAAUAUAAAUUCUGUUUUUGUUCCUACCUAGAUGAGUUUUGAUAGUGAUCGAAUAUCUUGUACUGGAAAUUAGUUUCUGGAAUUUUGGUUUAACAUUGUAGUUGGUUUUUUGUCACAUGGACAGAAUGUUUGCAAAAUGUGGAUAACAUUAUAUUGGUAGAAUCCGAUAAUGAGAAUUUGAAGGAUGAUAUGAACUUAUUGGGUGAUGAAAACUUAGGCGGAGAGGGUGUAGUUGUUCCUCAAGUGGGUAUAAAGUUCAAGGACGAAGUUGAAUUGUUAGAUUUUUACAAAAGAUAUGCAUACGACAUAAGUUUUCCAGUUAGAAAAUGAAAUUCGAAAAAGGACGAUGAUGGAAUAAUGAGAUAUAUUACGCUAACGUGUAGUCGCGAAAAGCUACAAUGCUACAGUAGUCGAAACAGGUGGAUACGAAAAUAUGACUUGCGUGGAAAAAGAUUGUCGAAAUUAUGUUGAACAAGUUCAGGACUUUAAGACUUGGAGAAUGAGAUGCCGUAGCAAUACAAUCUUACUUUUCGAAAAUGUAAGCAAGUUGCUUGGGGUGUUACUUUAGCAUGGAUUUGGACGAUGAGUCUAGGUUGAAGAAUGUUUUCUGGGUAGAUAAUAGGAGUAGAUAAACGUAUAAAGAGUUCGACGACGUUUUCACGUUCGAUAUGACUUACCUAACUGAUAAGUAGGAGAUGCCUUUUGCCCCUUUUAUCGAGGUGAAUCAUCAUGGACUAUCGACACUAUUUGGAUGUGGUUUGGUGUGGAAUGAGGAUACAGAUAUAUAUUUAUGGCUAUUUAAAACAUGGCUACAGUGCAUGCACGACUAAGCUCCCCAUGGGAUAAUUACAAAUCAAGACAUGGCCAUGCAAAAUGUAAUUGAGAUCGUGUUUCCAAAUUCGAAACACGAAUGAUGUUUGUGGCAUAUAUUAAAGAAAUUACCAGAAAAGUUUGGGUACCAUGUGGACAAGGCUACUAUAUUUCAAUUUAUAUAAGAAUUGGUUUAUGAUUCUCAAUUUGUUGAACAGUUUAAAGAUGGGUGGAGGGCUAUGAUCGAUAUGUAUGCAUUGCAUGACAAUGAUUGGCUAGCGGGACUAUACAAGAAUAGAUGUCGUUGGGUUUCUUGCUAUUUUAAAACCACGUUAUGAGCAAGGAUGUCAACAACCAAUAAAGUGAGAGUAUGAAUGCAUUUUUCGAUGGAUAUGUACAUUCGAAGACAUCAUUAAAGCAAUUCGUUGAACAAUAUGAAAGAGUAUUGAGAAAUAAAGUCGAGAAGGAGUUUCAAGCAGAUUUCAAGUCUUACUCGCAAAUGGUACCAUGUGCAACACGGUAUGAAAUUGAGAAGCGAUUUUAAGCGGUUACACCAUUUCGAAAUUUAGAGAAGUUCAAGAGGAAUUCACUGGAAAGAUGUAUUUCGACCUCGUAUCUACUUUUGUGGGAUGUUCGGGAACGAGGUAUGAGGUGCUAGAGGAUGUCAUCUACGAAUCAAGUUUGAAGAAAAAGAUGUUCUUCGUCUCUUUCCAGCCAAAAAAGUGUGAAACUACUUGUGGUUGCCAUUUAUUCGAGUUUCAAGGAAUACUAUGUAGGCAUGCAAUCACAAUGUUAAUCUGUCACGAUGCCAAAGUAUUGCUAACAAAUAUAUCCUACGCAGAUGGAAGAGAGAUGUGAGUAGAGCUCACAAGAGAGUUGCUGUGACCUACGACAGAUUGGUUAGUACUCCAGGACAGUUGAUGUAUGAUAAAUUGUGAUUGGCUCGAUCAUAAGAUGGUGGUUUUGUUAGUCCAAAUAUGGGUAAAGCAGUGAAGGGCAUUCAGAUGGGAAGGAAGAUAGUGUGGAUUAGUUUAUCUUUCUUGCAUUUCUUUGAUUAUUUUGCUAAUUAUUCAUGUGAAGUUGGUAGAAUGGGACGACAAAGAAGAAGGCAAGGAAGUGACUCGGCAAUGGGAAGAUGAUUCGGAUGAUAACGAUGUCAUAUGACUUUCUAUUGCAACUUUAAUUCCAGCUACUGAACUUCAUUAUGAAACUGUGAAGUUAGUUGCUAUGUUUUGUUAUUACUGUAUUGAAUUCUUAUAAUCAGGAACAAAAAUUUGACCACUUCCUCCCACGUCCAAGAUGCUGGAAAUUUGUGACAUUUUUAGAAUAUUAAUUGUAGAGAUGGUGAAUUUGUGGUAAAAUAAAG
Molecule: long non-coding RNA, 2684 nt
Filed under: Olea europaea subsp. europaea
Lineage: Eukaryota; Viridiplantae; Streptophyta; Magnoliopsida; Lamiales; Oleaceae
Source: RNAcentral